GGGCGGUUAGCUCAGCUGGUUAGAGCACCUGCCUUACAAGCAGGGGGUCACUGGUUCGAAUCCAGUACUGCCCA
Molecule: transfer RNA, 74 nt
Filed under: Rhodothermales bacterium
Lineage: Bacteria; Pseudomonadati; Rhodothermota; Rhodothermia; Rhodothermales
Also listed under: 1 other name
Description: tRNA-Val
Rfam family: tRNA
About the family: Transfer RNA (tRNA) molecules are approximately 80 nucleotides in length. Their secondary structure includes four short double-helical elements and three loops (D, anti-codon, and T loops).
Source: RNAcentral